This 1601-nucleotide unclassified non-coding RNA is filed under the name Hevea brasiliensis (rubber tree). The record is from RNAcentral. Lineage: Eukaryota; Viridiplantae; Streptophyta; Magnoliopsida; Malpighiales; Euphorbiaceae.
GAGAAAGUCUCAAACACACGAGGUCAACUACAGAUACAACAAGAACUCACUCAACCAUGCCUAACAUCCCACACCAACCAACUCACCAGCUUCCAACAGAUUAAAAUCCUGCAAGGGGUAGGGAGCUCAGUCUAUCAGAUAUAGGGGCGCUGAUCCUUCUCCUCCUGAGCCGCUCAGCUAUUAUGAAGGCUAGUUCCAGAGACUGUGAGGCAUUCAGCCUUGGGUCGCAGUGGGUAUGAUAGCGAGAACCGAGGUCAUCAAAGGUCACAGUUCGCGAUCCACCAAUGCAUUCGGUUACAUUCUGCCCGGUCAUCUCCAAGUGUACUCCACCAGGGUGGCUCCCUUCCUGCUCGUGCACAUCAAAGAAGGCUCGAACCUCUGCCCGGAUUGCAUCGAAAGGACGGGUCUUGAGCCCACAAGGGGCUUUGAUAGUAUUCCCGUGCAUGGGAUCACUGACCCAGGUGACAAUCUGUCCAGCCCCUCGAACAGCCCUAAUCAAAUGAGGCAGCUUAACACGCAUGUUCUCUGCCCCCAUUCUUGUGAUCACCGUAAUCCUCCCAGCUUUGUUCUUGGGGUUAAGGAUCUCGAUCAGUUUCACUAGUUCCUUGGGGUCCAUCUUGUCACUUGCCUUGAUGCCGAGGGGAUUAGCGACACCACGAAGAAACUCAACAUGGGCACCAUCGAGUUGGCGAGUGCGUUCACCAACCCAAAGCAUGUGGGAAGAGCAGUCAUAGUAGAGACCAGAAGUGGAGUCCUCACGGGUGAGAGCUUGCUCAUAUGGGAGGAGCAGACACUCAUGGGAAGUCCAGAACUCGGUGGUUGUCAUGAUAGGGUGAUCAAUUGUUAGCCCAGCAGCUCCCAUGAAUCCUAGGGCUUCAUCCACCCGAUGAGCCAGCUCCCGGUACCUAUCGCCCUGCUCACUAUGCUCGGUGAAGUCAAGAUUCCACUGCGUAACCCGCUGCAUCGCAGCAUACCCACCGGUAGCAAAGGCCCGGAGCAAGUUGAGGGUAGCAGCAGCCUGACAGUAAGCCCGGAUCAUCCUCUGAGGAUCCGGCGUCCUCGACUUCUCAUCAAAGGCAUCGCCAUUGAUGUUAUCCCCCCGGUAGCUCGGGAGCUUAACCCCGUUCUUCUCCUCAAAGUUGUCCGACCUCGGCUUCGCAAACUGCCCCGCCAUUCUCCCCACCUUGAUAACCGGCAUCUGGCCACCGAACAUGAGGACGACGCCCAUCUGGAGCAGGAUCCUGAAGGUGUCCCGAAUGUUGUUGGCGUUGAACUCCUUGAAGCUCUCGGCGCAGUCGCCGCCCUGGAGGAGAAAGGCCUUGCCGACGGCAGCGUCGGCGAGGCGCUCCUCAAGGUGCCUCGCCUCGCCGGCGAAGACGAUCGGAGGGAAGCUCUCGAUCGUGCGGAGGACGGAUUCGAGAUCGGCUUUGUCGGGGUAUUCGGGGAGCUGGAGGGCGGUCUUCGACCUCCAGCUGUCGACGGACCACUUCCCGGCCUUCGGCGGGGGCGCGGAGGUCUUAGUAGCGGGGGUUUUCGCCGGCUCCGCCGCGUGGACGGCCGAGAUCGGGCGGGGGGAGGGACGGGGAGCGAGGGAGAGGUGG